This is a long non-coding RNA of Melitaea cinxia (Glanville fritillary), 295 nucleotides long. RefSeq lists it as uncharacterized. The transcript has 3 exons. NCBI's taxonomy places the organism in Eukaryota, Metazoa, Arthropoda, Insecta, Lepidoptera, Nymphalidae. The record is from RefSeq and is a predicted model, not a curated record.
UCACUCUCAACUUUUUAUGCCCUCCACUUAGAAGGUCACCGGUCCCAGGGUGGGGCAAGAUUCUAGAAAAAGGAGCAGAAAUAUUAGGCCCAAUAGUCGCAGAAGGUAUAGCAGAUGCCAUUGCUGGAAAUAAAGGAACCACAGAAGCACCUAAAUCAUCAAGAAAAAAGCGACAGCUCUUGACAGAAGAAUGUUGCGAUAAAGCCUGUACUUUGGAUACGCUAAUGCAAUAUUGUCCAAGUUAAUACACGCAAAGAUUAAAAUAAAUAUAUGCGCGUGACAACAAUAAACAUGA